GACAGAGGGAAGCCACCAAACCAAAGCAGGGCUUAGCCUAGACUUUUUGCAAAGUGGGGCUUGAGUGUCUGACCAUAGGCUGGCAUGGCUACCUCCAUCAUUGUUUCUUCUGCAGCUGAAUAGGCUGGCAGGCAGCCUGAAAUGGGGACCUGCUCAGAAGACCCCCACCCCUGCUGGGCAUCCCGGCUCCUCGGACUCAUCAGUCUCUUUCUCAGUGUCUUCAGCAGUGGGACCAAUAGUGAUGGAGGUCCUGGUCCUGGAGUUCAGGAUUCUGGAGUCCACAUUCCUCUGCAGGGGAUCCGAGGAGAUUCUGUGCUGUUUCCUUUGCUCAAGAAGCAUGAAGCUGAGCUGGAGGAGGUCACAUGGGCCUUUGGUCCUGCGUCAGGGUACAGAGUCCUGCUGCGAGUCCGUCCUGGGGAAGCACCAAUAUGGGUGAGCCUCCAGGACAGGUACCAGCAGAGGAUCCAUGUGCCCAACAUGACAUCCCUGAAGAUUGAGAACCUGACCUCCGAGGACAGUGGGCUGUACCGGGCUCGAGGCAUCUUCACUGGAGGAGUAGAAUUUACCCAUGUUUUCCACCUCACUGUCUAUGAGCCUAUACCCAGUCCUGAGAUUCUGGCUGGGCCACGAUCCAUCACACCAGGCUGGUGCAAUGUCACCCUGGAGUGUGGGCCCAGAGGAGCCACAAAGGACCUGAAUGUGACCUGGAAGAGGGAGUACAUCCCUGAGGAGCUGGAGCAGACAGGGACACUGGGACCUGCCUCAAACUCCCACACCCUGGCUGUGAGGCUGCCCCUGAGUCAGCCCUACUCCAGUAUCACCUGCGUGGUCAGCAACCAGAUGGACCAGAAAACUGCUACCGUAGGUCUUGGGGAAGUCUGUGCCCAUGGUUCUCAAGGACUGCCCAUUGCUGGCUCCCUAGGAGCCAUUGUGGUUCUGCUGCUGAUCCUGGGAUCUGGACUGUGUUUUUGGAAGAAAUGUGGAAAGAAGAAGAUAGAGAUGAGAAGAGGUGCAGGAUCACCAGAGGACCAAAAAGAUGAUGACAGCAUCCAGUAUGUGGAGCUGAACCAGCAGGAAUCUCAAGAGGGCUUGUACAUGGUAAGACUUGGAAGCUGUGCUCACUUAGGCCUGGGUUUGUCAAAUUCAGUCCUUGCUGUUUCUGUCCUUACUGCCUCUUUAACUCUUUCUGGACAACCAACAAU
Molecule: long non-coding RNA, 1202 nt
Filed under: Sus scrofa (pig)
Lineage: Eukaryota; Metazoa; Chordata; Mammalia; Artiodactyla; Suidae
Description: lncRNA (ENSSSCG00040021736.1)
Source: RNAcentral